Molecule: long non-coding RNA, 215 nt
Filed under: Lathyrus oleraceus (garden pea)
Lineage: Eukaryota; Viridiplantae; Streptophyta; Magnoliopsida; Fabales; Fabaceae
Description: Pisum sativum (pea) long non-coding RNA (PSAT_LNC001570)
Source: RNAcentral
AAUGGUAAAAAAAUUUCAUAAAACCAAAGAAAGAUCACAAUAAUGUUACAUAAUCCGAUUGAAAACCCAUGUAAAGUAAGGAAUUAAUGUGUUACAUAUUAUUAUGAAUCAUAAUUUAAUACAGAACAACAAUAUUGCAAUUUCAUUGUUCAUAAAUUAAAAAAACAAAUACAAAAACAAGAGCAACAAAGGAAGCAAUUAUUGUUGGCACAAAA